RNAcentral lists this ribosomal RNA (492 nucleotides) under uncultured bacterium. RNAcentral describes it as "partial 16S ribosomal RNA". It matches the Rfam family "Bacterial small subunit ribosomal RNA", at positions 29 to 507 of the family's 1533-position model. The record is from RNAcentral.
AGUGAACGCUGGCGGUAGGCCUAACACAUGCAAGUCGAACGGCAGCACAGUAAGAGCUUGCUCUUACGGGUGGCGAGUGGCGGACGGGUGAGGAAUACAUCGGAAUCUACUUUUUCUUGGGGGAUAACGUAGGGAAACUUACGCUAAUACCUCAUACGACCUACGGGUGAAAGCAGUGGAUCUUCGGACCUUGCGCGAUUGAAUUAGCCGAUGUCGCAUUAGCUAGUUGGCUGGGUAAAGGCCCACCAAGGCGACGAUCCGUAGCUGGUCUGAGAGGAUGAUCAGCCACACUGGAACUGAGACACGGUCCAGACUCCUACGGGAGGCAGCAGUGGGGAAUAUUGGACAAUGGGCGAAAGCCUGAUCCAGCCAUACCGCGUGGGUGAAGAAGGCCUUCGGGUUGUAAAGCCCUUUUGUUGGGAAAGAAAAGAAGCAGGUUAAUCCACCGCUGUUCUGACGGUACCCAAAGAAUAAGCCACGGCUAACUUCGUG